AUGAACGCUGGCGGCGUGCCUAAUACGUGCAAGUCGAGCGAACGGACGAGAAGCUUGCUUCUCUGAUGUUAGCGGCGGACGGGUGAGUAACACGUGGAUAACCUACCUAUAAGACUGGGAUAACUUCGGGAAACCGGAGCUAAUACCGGAUGAUAUUUUGAACCGCAUGGUUCAAAAGUGAAAGACGGUCUUGCUGUCACUUAUAGAUGGAUCCGCGCUGCAUUAGCUAGUUGGUAAGGUAACGGCUUACCAAGGCAACGAUGCAUAGCCGACCUGAGAGGGUGAUCGGCCACACUGGAACUGAGACACGGUCCAGACUCCUACGGGAGGCAGCAGUAGGGAAUCUUCCGCAAUGGGCGAAAGCCUGACGGAGCAACGCCGCGUGAGUGAUGAAGGUCUUCGGAUCGUAAAACUCUGUUAUUAGGGAAGAACAUAUGUGUAAGUAACUGUGCACAUCUUGACGGUACCUAAUCAGAAAGCCACGGCUAACUACGUG
RNAcentral lists this ribosomal RNA (496 nucleotides) under uncultured bacterium. RNAcentral describes it as "partial 16S ribosomal RNA". It matches the Rfam family "Bacterial small subunit ribosomal RNA", at positions 29 to 507 of the family's 1533-position model. The record is from RNAcentral.